UUUUUUCAUCCAUUUGGUUCAAAAUAUAUGUAAGUUCAGCUUGUGCAUUUCUUACCUUAGCUACUUACUUUAAAAUUCAGCCAAUGCCACUUAUAGGCUCUUUUACACCAGUGUUUCGUUGCAAGAAAACAUAGUAAUGAAUAGCUUGUCGUACAAGAUCAAAUACACAAGUUAGAUCUCAUGUGAACCUUAUUGCAAAUUGAUAGGAACUUAUAUUUCAAUAUUUUUUCCCAAUAUUAUCAGGUAAAGGGCGAAUAAUCUAUUUGACG
Molecule: unclassified non-coding RNA, 269 nt
Filed under: Hevea brasiliensis (rubber tree)
Lineage: Eukaryota; Viridiplantae; Streptophyta; Magnoliopsida; Malpighiales; Euphorbiaceae
Source: RNAcentral